GACGAACGCUGGCGGUGUGCUUAACACAUGCAAGUCGAACGGUAAGGCCCUUUCGGGGGUACACGAGUGGCGAACGGGUGAGUAACACGUGAGUAACCUGCCCUCAUCUCUGGGAUAACAGUCGGAAACGGUUGCUAAUACUGGAUAUGAGCUUGCAAGGCAUCUUGUGGGUUGGAAAGAUUUUUUUUGGUUGGGGAUGGACUCGCGGCCUAUCAGCUUGUUGGUGAGGUAGUGGCUCACCAAGGCUUCGACGGGUAGCCGGCCUGAGAGGGCGACCGGCCACAUUGGGACUGAGAUACGGCCCAAACUCCUACGGGAGGCAGCAGUGGGGAAUAUUGCACAAUGGACGGAAGUCUGAUGCAGCAACGCCGCGUGCGGGAUGACGGCCUUCGGGUUGUAAACCGCUUUCAAUUGUGACGAAGCUUUUUUGCGACGGUAGCAGUAGAAGAAGCACCGGCUAACUACGUG
This 468-nucleotide ribosomal RNA is filed under the name uncultured bacterium. RNAcentral describes it as "partial 16S ribosomal RNA". It matches the Rfam family "Bacterial small subunit ribosomal RNA", at positions 28 to 507 of the family's 1533-position model. The record is from RNAcentral.